UGGUUUUUGGUGCAUCAUGUUCUGGAGGU
Molecule: non-coding RNA, 29 nt
Filed under: Mus musculus (house mouse)
Lineage: Eukaryota; Metazoa; Chordata; Mammalia; Rodentia; Muridae
Source: RNAcentral